This 397-nucleotide ribosomal RNA is filed under the name uncultured bacterium. RNAcentral's name for it is "bacterial SSU rRNA". It matches the Rfam family "Bacterial small subunit ribosomal RNA", at positions 335 to 724 of the family's 1533-position model. The record is from RNAcentral.
ACUCCUACGGGAGGCAGCAGUGGGGAAUAUUGCACAAUGGGGGAAACCCUGAUGCAGCCAUGCCGCGUGUGUGAAGAAGGCCUUCGGGUUGUAAAGCACUUUCAGUUGUGAGGAAAGGUUGGUAGUUAAUACCUGCCAGCUGUGACGUUAACAACAGAAGAAGCACCGGCUAACUCCGUGCCAGCAGCCGCGGUAAUACGGAGGGUGCGAGCGUUAAUCGGAAUUACUGGGCGUAAAGCGCAUGCAGGCGGCCUGUUAAGUCAGAUGUGAAAGCCCGGGGCUUAACCUCGGAAUUGCAUUUGAAACUGGCAGGCUAGAGUCUUGUAGAGGGGGUGAAAUUAUCAGGUGUAGCGGUGAAAUGCGUAGAGAUCUGAAGGAAUACCAGUGGCGAAGGCGG